AGAAGGAAGAGCAGGUUUCUCACGGCAUGUCAGCCCAGGGCUCCCACAUGUGGCCUCCCACCCUCAUCUUCACACAUUCUCACACCUUCCGGAGUACAGAGGCGAGUGGGGUGCAGAUGGUCCUCCCUACAUCGGGUGAGACUGAUAGAGACAGAACGGGGGAGGGUAUGACAGAGAUCCAGCCACAGAGAAGGGCAGAACUAGAAAAGAUGGGACUUGAGAUGAAACAAAGAGAGAGACAGAAACCAAGAGAAAGAAACCGGGAAGACAAGCAAAGAGACAGGUAGAAAUAGACGGAGAAUUCCUUCUGCUUCCUCCUGGCAGAUUGCACUUGGGGGGCAACCUGGCUGUCCCAGGCCACCAGGGAAGCCCACAUGGCCUGUUGGGUUGGCUUUGUCCCGAAUUGCCUGGAAGUUCAUCUUCUGUCUAGCCUUAGAUCUUGUUGCUAAAUAAUUUGGGGGACAAGGACGUGAGAAUCCCCUCAGCCAGGAGUCAGUCUAUAUGCAGUGGCAGGGGUCUAGACAGAGUCCCCAGAGCCAGGGGUGUUGGGAGAAGCCCCGAGAGGCAGCCCCUCUCCACUCUGAACCCGGGACUCAUUAGGCAAGCCAGUUUCAGCCAAGGUCGGGGGCCCUCGUGUGGCACCCCCACAGAAUAGCAGCGGUGAUACUGAACCCUAGAGCCCCUGACUGUGGGCUCCACCCAGGCAAGAGCCAAUGGAACUGGAGG
This 726-nucleotide long non-coding RNA is filed under the name Homo sapiens (human). RNAcentral describes it as "non-protein coding TSPOAP1-AS1:41". The record is from RNAcentral. Lineage: Eukaryota; Metazoa; Chordata; Mammalia; Primates; Hominidae.